Molecule: ribosomal RNA, 274 nt
Filed under: uncultured bacterium
Lineage: Bacteria
Description: partial 16S ribosomal RNA
Rfam family: Bacterial small subunit ribosomal RNA
Source: RNAcentral
AUACGGAGGGUGCAAGCGUUACUCGGAAUCACUGGGCGUAAAGCGCGCGCAGGCGGGCUGAUAAGUUGGAUGUGAAAGCCUACGGCUCAACCGUAGAACUGCAUCCAAAACUGUCAGUCUAGAGUCUGGGAGGGGAAGAUGGAAUUAGUUGUGUAGGGGUAAAAUCCGUAGAGAUAACUAGGAAUACCAAAAGCGAAGGCAAUCUUCUGGAACACUACUGACGCUGAGGCGCGAAAGCGUGGGGAGCAAACAGGAUUAGAUACCCGAGUAGUCC